RNAcentral lists this ribosomal RNA (474 nucleotides) under uncultured bacterium. RNAcentral describes it as "bacterial SSU rRNA". It matches the Rfam family "Bacterial small subunit ribosomal RNA", at positions 15 to 507 of the family's 1533-position model. The record is from RNAcentral.
GAUCAGUGGCUCAGAGUGAACGCUGGCGGCGUGCUUAACACAUGCAAGUCGAGCGGAUCAAAGUAGCUUGCUAUUUUGGUUAGUGGCGCACGGGUGAGUAAUGUAUAGCUAACCUGCCCUUUAGUGGGGGACAACAGUUGGAAACGACUGCUAAUACCCCAUACUCCUUCUUGUCAUAAGGCGAGUCGGGAAAGAUUUAUUGCUAAAGGAUGGGGCUUUAUGGUAUCAGCUAGUUGGUGAGGUAACGGCUCACCAAGGCUAUGACGCCUACCUGGUCUGAGAGGAUGAUCAGGCACACUGGAACUGAGACACGGUCCAGACUCCUACGGGAGGCAGCAGUGGGGAAUAUUGCACAAUGGAGGAAACUCUGAUGCAGCAACGCCGCGUGGAGGAUGACGCAUUUCGGUGUGUAAACUCCUUUUAUAAGGGAAGAUAAUGACGGUACCUUAUGAAUAAGCACCGGCUAACUCCGUG